RNAcentral lists this ribosomal RNA (470 nucleotides) under uncultured Comamonas sp. RNAcentral's name for it is "bacterial SSU rRNA". It matches the Rfam family "Bacterial small subunit ribosomal RNA", at positions 335 to 798 of the family's 1533-position model. The record is from RNAcentral. Lineage: Bacteria; Pseudomonadati; Pseudomonadota; Betaproteobacteria; Burkholderiales; Comamonadaceae.
UAGCCUACGGGUGGCAGCAGUGGGGAAUUUUGGACAAUGGGCGCAAGCCUGAUCCAGCAAUGCCGCGUGCAGGAUGAAGGCCUUCGGGUUGUAAACUGCUUUUGUACGGAACGAAAAGCUUCGGGCUAAUACCCUGGAGUCAUGACGGUACCGUAAGAAUAAGCACCGGCUAACUACGUGCCAGCAGCCGCGGUAAUACGUAGGGUGCAAGCGUUAAUCGGAAUUACUGGGCGUAAAGCGUGCGCAGGCGGUUUUGUAAGACAGAGGUGAAAUCCCCGGGCUCAACCUGGGAACUGCCUUUGUGACUGCAAGGCUAGAGUACGGCAGAGGGGGAUGGAAUUCCGCGUGUAGCAGUGAAAUGCGUAGAUAUGCGGAGGAACACCGAUGGCGAAGGCAAUCCCCUGGGCCUGUACUGACGCUCAUGCACGAAAGCGUGGGGAGCAAACAGGAUUAGAUACCCGUGUAGUCAC